AGCAGCCGCGGUAAUUCCAGCUCCAAUAGCGUAUAUUAAAGUUGUUGCAGUUAAAAAGCUCGUAGUUGAAUUUCGAGAUCAAAUUGUUGGUCGUGCCUCGGUACGUACUGGCAUUAUUGAUUUCUCCUUUCUGAAGAACCUUGAUGUCAUUAAUUUGGUGUCUUGGGGAAUCAGGACCGUUACUUUGAAAAAAUUAGAGUGUUUAAAGCAGGCUCACGCUUGAAUACAUUAGCAUGGAAUAAUGAAAUAGGACGUUUGAUUCUAUUUUGUUGGUUUCUAGGAUCGACGUAAUGAUUAAUAGGGAUAGUUGGGGGCAUUAGUAUUCAAUUGUCAGAGGUGAAAUUCUUGGAUUUAUUGAAGACUAACUACUGCGAAAGCAUUUGCCAAGGAUGUUUUCAUUAAUCAAGAACGAAAGUUAGGGGAUCGAAGACGAUCAGAUACCGUCGUAGUCUUAACCAUAAACUAUGCCGACUAGGGAUCGGAUGAUGUUAAUUUUUAAUGACUCAUUCGGCGCCUUAAC
This 520-nucleotide ribosomal RNA is filed under the name uncultured Glomus. RNAcentral's name for it is "SSU rRNA". It matches the Rfam family "Eukaryotic small subunit ribosomal RNA", at positions 569 to 1092 of the family's 1831-position model. Lineage: Eukaryota; Fungi; Glomeromycota; Glomeromycetes; Glomerales; Glomeraceae. The record is from RNAcentral.